GCUGGAGUGCAAUGGCUCAAUCUCGGCUCACUGCAACCUCUGCCUGCUAGGUUCAAGCGAUUCUUCUGCCUCAGCCUCCCGAGUAGCUGGGAUUACAGGCAUGUGCCACCAUGCCCGGCUAAUUUUGUAUUUUCAGUAGAGAUGGUGUUUCUCCAUGUUGGCCAGGCUGGUCUCGAACUGAACUCCUGACCUCAAGUUAUCUGCCCUCCUCGGCCUCCCAAAGUACUGGGAUUACAGGAUGUCAGUGUGCAGGAGAACUUGCAAGAGAAAGUGGCUAACAGAGACAGGAGUCAGCUGGGUCAGAGAAUAGAAGGUGGGACUGGAGGUGCAUUCUGCUGAGAGGUGCUCAAGUGAGGAAAGCUGACAAGAACUAGGUGAGACCGGACUAAAAAGAAUCCU
RNAcentral lists this long non-coding RNA (399 nucleotides) under Pongo abelii (Sumatran orangutan). RNAcentral's name for it is "lincRNA". The record is from RNAcentral. Lineage: Eukaryota; Metazoa; Chordata; Mammalia; Primates; Hominidae.